This 686-nucleotide long non-coding RNA is filed under the name Homo sapiens (human). RNAcentral describes it as "HSALNT0378272". Lineage: Eukaryota; Metazoa; Chordata; Mammalia; Primates; Hominidae. The record is from RNAcentral.
GCUACCUGCUCAGGAAGGAAGUGCGAUGGUUCAUUUUAGGUGUCAACUUGACUGAAUUCAGGAAUACCUAGCAACUUAGUAAAGCAUGAUUUUGGGGUGUGUUUGUGGGGGUGUUAUCAGAGGAGAUUAGAUAUGAGUCUGAAGGAUUAGAUGGAGAAGAUCUGCCCUCAAUGUUGGCAUGAACCAUCCAAUCUACUGGGGGCUGGGAGAAAACAAAAAUAGAGAAAAAGUGAGUCUGUUAAUUUUGCUGCUGGGGCUGGGAUAACUUCUUCCUCUCCUAUUCUAGGACAAUAACUCCGGGCUCCCCAGCCUUUGGACUCCAGUGCUUAACAAGAAGGCCCCUUCAGGAUUCUCAGACCUUUGGUUUUGGACUGAGAAAUACACCAUUGGCUUUCCUGGUUCUGAGGCUUUUGGUCUUGGACUGAGCCACGCCGUCAGCAUCCCAGGGUUUGCAGCUUGCAGAUCGCCUGUCAUGGGACUUCUCAGCCUCCGUAAUCACGUGUUGCCGUAAGUCUACUGAGCUCUCUGGGUGUCUAACCUUGCCUUCUUGUCAUCAGCUAUUAAAACUACUAAAACAGAAGAAUGCUUAACCACUACAGCUGUUAAAACAUUAGUACGUGCUUUGAUGCUGGAAGAAGACUUUUCAUGCUAUUCUUAGAGACAGGGUCUCACUCUGUCACCCAGGC